RNAcentral lists this ribosomal RNA (692 nucleotides) under uncultured bacterium. RNAcentral's name for it is "bacterial SSU rRNA". It matches the Rfam family "Bacterial small subunit ribosomal RNA", at positions 1 to 691 of the family's 1533-position model. The record is from RNAcentral.
AAUACUAGAGUUUGAUCCUGGCUCAGAUUGAACGCUGGCGGCAUGCCUUACACAUGCAAGUCGAACGGUAACGCGGGGCAACCUGGCGACGAGUGGCGAACGGGUGAGUAAUGCAUCGGAACGUGCCCAGUAGUGGGGGAUAGCCCGGCGAAAGCCGGAUUAAUACCGCAUACGACCUGAGGGUGAAAGGGGGGGAUCGCAAGACCUCUCGCUAUUGGAGCGGCCGAUGUCAGAUUAGGUAGUUGGUGGGGUAAAGGCCUACCAAGCCGACGAUCUGUAGCUGGUCUGAGAGGACGACCAGCCACACUGGGACUGAGACACGGCCCAGACUCCUACGGGAGGCAGCAGUGGGGAAUUUUGGACAAUGGGCGCAAGCCUGAUCCAGCCAUGCCGCGUGCGGGAAGAAGGCCUUCGGGUUGUAAACCGCUUUUGUCAGGGAAGAAAUCUUCUGAGUUAAUACCUCGGGAGGAUGACGGUACCUGAAGAAUAAGCACCGGCUAACUACGUGCCAGCAGCCGCGGUAAUACGUAGGGUGCAAGCGUUAAUCGGAAUUACUGGGCGUAAAGCGUGCGCAGGCGGUUUUGUAAGACAGAGGUGAAAUCCCCGGGCUCAACCUGGGAACUGCCUUUGUGACUGCAAGGCUUGAGUGCGGCAGAGGGGGAUGGAAUUCCGCGUGUAGCAGUGAAAUGCGU